Molecule: ribosomal RNA, 435 nt
Filed under: uncultured soil bacterium
Lineage: Bacteria
Description: bacterial SSU rRNA
Rfam family: Bacterial small subunit ribosomal RNA
Source: RNAcentral
AGGACGAACGCUGGCGGCGUGCUUAACACAUGCAAGUCGAGCGGUAAGGCCUUUCGGGGUACACGAGCGGCGAACGGGUGAGUAACACGUGGGUGAUCUGCCCUGCACUUCGGGAUAAGCCUGGGAAACUGGGUCUAAUACCGGAUAUGACCUCCUAUCGCAUGGUGGGUGGUGGAAAGAUUUAUCGGUGCAGGAUCGGGCCCGCGGCCUAUCAGCUUGUUGGGUGGGGUAAUGGCCUACCGAAGGCGACGACGGGUAGCCGACCUGAGAGGGUGACCGGCCACACUGGGACUGAGACACGGCCCAGACCUCCGUACGGGAGGCAGCAGGUGGGGAAUAUUGCACAAUGGGACGAAAGCCUGAUGCAGCGACGCCGCGGUGAGGAUGGACGGUCCGUUCGGGUUCGUAAACCUCUUUCGAGCGAGGACGAAGCCG